This 481-nucleotide ribosomal RNA is filed under the name uncultured bacterium. RNAcentral describes it as "partial 16S ribosomal RNA". It matches the Rfam family "Bacterial small subunit ribosomal RNA", at positions 28 to 507 of the family's 1533-position model. The record is from RNAcentral.
GACGAACGCUGGCGGCGUGCUUAACACAUGCAAGUCGAACGGGAUCCGGGCUUUCGGGUUUGGUGAGAGUGGCGAACGGGUGAGUAACACGUGAGUAACCUGCCCCCUUCUUUGGGAUAACGUCGGGAAAUCGGCGCUAAUACUGGAUAUUCUUGCUGCAUCGCAUGGUGUGGUUUGGAAAGGGUUUCUGGUGGGGGAUGGGCCCGCGGCCUAUCAGCUUGUUGGUGGGGUGAUGGCCUACCAAGGCUUUGACGGGUAGCCGGCCUGAGAGGGUGUCCGGCCACACUGGGACUGAGACACGGCCCAGACUCCUACGGGAGGCAGCAGUGGGGAAUAUUGCACAAUGGGCGCAAGCCUGAUGCAGCGACGCCGCGUGAGGGAUGACGGCCUUCGGGUUGUAAACCUCUUUCAGUAUGGAACAAGGAUCCUUCUUUUGGGGGGUUUGAGGGUACGUGCAGAAGAAGCGCCGGCUAACUACGUG